AUGCCUCGUCAUCUAAUUAGUGACGCGCAUGAAUGGAUUAACGAGAUUCCUACUGUCCCUAUCUACUAUCUAGCGAAACCACAGCCAAGGGAACGGGCUUGGAAUAAUUAGCGGGGAAAGAAGACCCUGUUGAGCUUGACUCUAGUCUGGCAGUGUAAGGAGACAUAAGAGGUGUAGCAUAAGUGGGAGAUAUAUUAGUUUCGGCUAUAUAUAUCAAAAAUGAAAUACCACUACUCUUAUUGUUUCCUUACUUACUUGAUAAAAUGGAACGUGUAUCAUUCACUUAGCCAUUACACGGAUAUAUUUUAUAUAUAUUUUAUGGUAUUUUGUUUUGAUGCGAGCUUCUUGUUUAAAGUACCAAGAGUUUGUUAUAUACACCAAACAAAUAUCAAUUAAAUUUACUUUCCAUUAAUAAUGGUUUGUUAAAUAUUAAAUGAAUUUGGUAUAACUAUUAUACUCAGGUAUGAUCCAAUUCAAGGACAUUGCCAGGUGGGGAGUUUGACUGGGGCGGUACAUCUCUCAAAUAAUAACGGAGGUGUCCCAAGGCCAGCUCAGUGCGGACAGAAACCACACAUAGAGCAAAAGGGCAAAUGCUGACUUGAUCUCGGUGUUCAGUACAUACAGAGACAGCAAAAGCUCGGCCUAUCGAUCCUUUUGGUUUA
RNAcentral lists this ribosomal RNA (662 nucleotides) under Pityocera cervus. Its description in RNAcentral is "eukaryotic LSU rRNA". It matches the Rfam family "Eukaryotic large subunit ribosomal RNA", at positions 2287 to 2784 of the family's 3401-position model. The record is from RNAcentral. Lineage: Eukaryota; Metazoa; Arthropoda; Insecta; Diptera; Tabanidae.